AUGGCUCAUUAGAGACAGAGAGAGAGAGUGAGAGAAAGGAGCAGCAUCCAGUGAGAUGCAUGCUGAGACCCAGGAGCUGCAGCUGCAGCAGGGUUGACUCUACAAGCCACAGCAACAGAACUCAAACAGGGUGCCCAGGGAAGAAUCACUGAGCUGGUUUCAGAAAAAGAUCUUACUCUACCCUUAUCUUGACCAUCAUGCAUAGCUAUGCUCUAAAUGUUUGGCUGAAGACAUGUGAAGGACACCUUAGCAUGAUAUCCAGCUGCAUUUGACUUCCUACCCUGAAUAAACAGAAUCCCCCAAAAUAUGGGUAUUCGAUCUGCCAGUCUCCAGUUCUCGGAAUGCACCAUCAUCAUGCUAAAACAUCAUUCUUUUUGAUCAGCAUUAUCCUCUUUCACUGUUAGUUAAGGUUGAUAGUGCAGGAUUUAUAUUGCAUGUUACCUACAAUUUCACAACAGUAAUGAUAUUCAACUCUAGAGAGAAGACAUACACCAGCAGACUCUCACUAUGCUUAAAAAGGGCACCUGUGCUCAAAAGCUUGCAAAAAACAUCUACUCGGUUAGCCUAAUAAAAGAUAUCACAUUUAUCCAAAUAACUAUGUCUGCCUAUGGCAGUAAUGCUGAUUUCAAUAUCUUUCAUUUGUUGGCACAGUACUGAAUUUAUUCUUUCCAGAGCAGUGAUUGAGACUGAUUGGAUUUGACUUUGAUUCUACGCAGAUUGUCCAGACUCUUAACUUUGUUUAGGACUUUGGGUAUAUAAAGAAGCAGAUGAGCCCCUAUGACUUGGCUGUGAUCCCUGUUCUCUCACAAACUAACAGGAAAAUAACAAACCCUUCACCUAGCAACAUUUCUUGACUGUUAUUUGUUAAUAUAUUUGCCAGGAAGAAGCAGAAGGAAAAAACUCUCAAAGUGACAAGUUGAAGAGACAAUGCUGUUAAAAUACUUCCCAAGGUUUCCAAACAAUUCCCAAACUGUUUCCAAAAACACAAAACAAUCCUCUAAAGCUGCUUACCACAGACUUGGAUCAUUCUGGAUGGAGAGUUAACAAAAAAGCAAAAAUUACUAGCAGGCUCUGUCCUGGUUUUGAAAUAGAGCCUUGACAGAUCACUUUCUUUGCAACUUUCUCACAAUACCAUGUCCAUUCAUGUACUCUCCAAAUGAUACACAUUGCAAUCAAUCUGCUCUAUCAUUUAAUAUUUUUUUAAAGUCAUGUAAUUCAUUCUGUCUUUUGUUUUUGCUUUUUUCCCCUUAAACUUUUUUUCCCUUAAAACUGAGGUCGAAGGAAAGACACCCACUGAUUUGAAAUGAUUCACACUUCCCAUUGAUUCAAACUGGCUGCAAGAAUAUUUUUAAUAGAAAAUCUAGUAUUUGAAUUGUAAUUCUGUCCUAGCUAUGCCCCAAGAGAGUCUUAACUAGGUAAUUAAGAAAUCUAGGCUUAAUUUAAUUGGUCCCAGACAAUUUGACAGCAUCUAACUUCCUAAAUUAUCACUCACCACUUCUUUCACCAUUCUAACUAGCUUUCUUACUCCUUUGUUUCUCAUUCUAAUUGUGUUUUCCAUAUGCCCACUGUCAACUCUUUUAGUGAAGACUGAAUUAAAAAAGGUAUUAAGCACUCUGGUACUGUUGGGAGUGAUGGUUUAUCUUUGAUGGACCAGGAAUUCCGUGACCAGCAAGGAUUUUUGUGGGUGAUAUCUCUAUUGGACCAACUGCAUAAGGGUCACAUCUACACAUGCUAUUAAUGCAACUGAAUAUCAAAAUGAGCUGGAGUAAACUAAUCCUGAUGCCACCAUCUGCAUGUGUAUUUAAGCACAGUAAUUUACUGGUUGUAUCCAGCAGCACAGUGAAUUAAUAUACUGUGCCCUAAUUGCCGCAUGUGUGUUGAUGGUGAAGCUUUAUCAUGCACAAAUUAUACUACUGUGCAGUAAAGCAUCUCGUAGACAUGCCCAAGAAGUACCAUAUUGAGUCUGCCCAAUGGUCCAUCCAGCACAGCAUCCUAUCUUCAACAGUGACACAAGCGAUUCUUUAAAGGGAAAGCAUUGAACCAAGUUAUAUAUAGAGUGAUUCAUUACCCUCCCUGGCUUCCACCAUUAUUGUUUAGAGAAGAACAUGCUAGAAGAAAUAUCUGUAACCAUUCUGUUAAACAUCUAUUAAUAGAUCUAUCAUCUGUGAAUUUGUCUAGUCCCUUUUGGAACCUGGCUAUGCUAUCUGCCUCUACUACCUCCCAUGGCAAUGAACUCCACAGGUUUAUUAUGUGCUGUAAAAAAGUACUGUCUUGCUAGUUUUAAACCUGUCUCCUGCUAAUUUCAGUGCAUACCCCCUAGUUCUAGUAUUUUGGGACUUGUGAACAACUGUUCCCUUUUAACUUGGUUCAUACCCUUCAUGAUUUUAUAGACCAUUAUCAUAGCCCCCACUCAAGUCUUCUUUUCAAACUAAAAAGUCCUACCCAUUUUAGUUUCUUCUUGUAUGCAUGGUUGACAUAAAGUUAGAUAAGCUUUCAAUUCCAAUUCAAAUUCUGAUUCUUAAUCAGGAUAUCAUUACAGGUCAUCAAGUGUUAAGAGUUUUUCCUGGUCCACUAAUUAGUGAGCCAACUAGCUUCUUGAUCUUCCUCUUGUUAUUAAUGUAUACAUACAAUAUUUCUUAGUUAUCUUUUCAUGGCCCUUGCUAGUUGUAUCUCAUUUUGGUUUUGAUUUUGUCCCCACAUGCUUUGGCUAUUCUUUUAGACUCAGCCUUAGUAAUUUAACCUAGUUUUCAUUUUUUGAACAACUCUUUCUUUAGUCUCAAGUCACUAAAGAGCUCAUUAUUUAGCUCUUAUUUAGAAGUCUCUUAGAGUACUUAUCUUUCUAUCCUUCUCUAUGGGAUAGUUUGGCUUCUACCCUUGAUGUUACUUCUUUAAGAAACUGCCAACUCUACUGAACACUUUUUCUUUUACACAUGCUUCCUAUGGGACCUUACCUCCCAACUUAACUGGCUUAUUAAAGGCUUUUGUCUUCAAUAAACUCAUUGAAUUGUCUUUAAUCUGAUGUUGUCUUAUGAUAUAGUGAUCAGUGGGUGUGUCUACAUGUUCUUUACUAUGCAUUAGACUAAUUGAAUGCACAGUAAAGUCACCAUUUACACAUGUGCAGCAAUUACUGUGCAGUAGAUUAAUUUAAAUUCCUGUUUGCUAGUACCAACAGGUCCAGGUACUAGAGAAUGGAGCUUUAAACUAAUGUGCCUGAGCACAUGUGCAGACACUGACCCAGGAGCAAAUUGCUCCUGGUCAGCUCAGGUGCAAGGGGGCAACAACUACUGACUGACUAAGCCCCAAGCUUGGAGCUUGGGCCCCAGAUCCGGGUACAGCUCUUCCCGACCACCUGAAGCUUGGGACUAACCCCAAGAUCCACAUCAGUCAGAGCUUCCACCCCCAGAGCCAGGGACAGCUCCCCUCCCUUCCCCUCCCCCCCAGAGCCCAGUCCUGAGCCCUGUGUCCCCUGCCAGUCUGGGGCUGCCCCCAGAGCCCUCUGCCAGCCUAGG
Long non-coding RNA from Alligator mississippiensis (American alligator), 3509 nucleotides. RefSeq lists it as uncharacterized. Lineage: Eukaryota; Metazoa; Chordata; Crocodylia; Alligatoridae. The transcript is spliced from 3 exons. The record is from RefSeq and is a predicted model, not a curated record.